ACCCCUACGGGGGGCAGCAGUGGGGAAUAUUGGACAAUGGGGGCAACCCUGAUCCAGCAAUGCCGCGUGUGUGAAGAAGGCCUGCGGGUUGUAAAGCACUUUCAAUUGUGAAGAAAGGUUGUAGGUUAAUACCCUGCAAUUUUGACGUUAACUUUAGAAGAAGCACCGGCUAACUCCGUGCCAGCAGCCGCGGUAA
Molecule: ribosomal RNA, 196 nt
Filed under: uncultured Chromatiales bacterium
Lineage: Bacteria; Pseudomonadati; Pseudomonadota; Gammaproteobacteria; Chromatiales
Description: partial 16S ribosomal RNA
Rfam family: Bacterial small subunit ribosomal RNA
Source: RNAcentral